GAUGAACGCUGGCGGCGUGCCUAAUACAUGCAAGUCGAGCGAACAGACGAGGAGCUUGCUCCUCUGACGUUAGCGGCGGAUGGGUGAGUAACACGUGGAUAACCUACCUAUAAGACUGGGAUAACUUCGGGAAACCGGAGCUAAUACCGGAUAAUAUAUUGAACCGCAUGGUUCAAUAGUGAAAGACGGUUUUGCUGUCACUUAUAGAUGGAUCCGCGCCGCAUUAGCUAGUUGGUAAGGUAACGGCUUACCAAGGCAACGAUGCGUAGCCGACCUGAGAGGGUGAUCGGCCACACCGGAACUGAAACACGGUCCAGACUCCUAAGGGAGGCAGCAGUAGGGAAUCUUCCGCAAUGGGCGAAAGCCUGACGGAGCAACGCCGCGUAAGUGAUGAAGGUCUUCGGAUCGUGAAACUCUGUUAUUAGGGAAGAACAAAUGUGUAAGUAACUAUGCACGUCUUGACGGUACCUAAUCAGAAAGCCACGGCUAACUACGUG
This 497-nucleotide ribosomal RNA is filed under the name uncultured bacterium. RNAcentral's name for it is "partial 16S ribosomal RNA". It matches the Rfam family "Bacterial small subunit ribosomal RNA", at positions 28 to 507 of the family's 1533-position model. The record is from RNAcentral.